GCCGGGUGCUCCUGCAGAUAAACCCGGACGCCACGUCCCGCCUCGGCUGCUUAUUUAGCAAGGCGCCUUCUGCGCAUAUUUUACCCGGCUGGGGGCAGUGAGUGGGAACCGCCGGGAGAGGGGGCGGGGAACCACCAACUACUCGCCUUCGGACCCAGUGUGCCGGCCUCCGGCCCCAGCCAUUUUGUAUCCAGCUUCCCUCCUCCACUCCCACCGGGUCCCUGCGAAGACGCACCACCCCGAACCCCUUCGCGGUACCACUCCCGAACUGGAGGGGUAGAGAAGGCUCUGCCAGCCCCUCGCCUGCAGCAGGAAGGAAGGCUCCGGUUUGAACUCUACCUGUUCAUGGGGACAGAUGCUGAGACCUGGAGGGGAAGAGGGAAGGUGGUACAAGGAACCUGCAGGAGACUGCAGUAUCAGGUGGCAGUAUCAGGAGGCUGAUAAAUCCAGGCUAAUGGAAAUUACUAUUGCACAACACCAGAGUCUUCACGUGGCCUGACUUUCAAUAAACUGUUCCCCUCCUCACUCCUUGGAGAAAGUGAAAUAAGACAUUAGACUUUCAGUAAUCUCAUAUGGUGAUGAUCAAUCGAAACCUGGAGAAGAAGGCCAAUUUAUAGAAAUUGUAUCUGCUUCACUGGGUGGCUGGAACCAGGGAGCUGAAAAGAAAACGGUGCUCGCCUUUGAUGUGUGAAGUUGCCCCAAAAUGACAAACGCCAAAAAACACUGGCUAUACAUGUGGGGUAUUCAAAGGGAGAGGGUACUCAGGAGAGGCCUUUGUUAGGUGGAUCAUUGCGGGGACCUGACCAAAGACACAUGCACAUGUUCAGGCCACAUAAAAGCGAUUUAUUUUUCUUAUCUUUUGGCUAUUUUAAGUUGGAGUUUCCAUCUUUCUUAUUUGUUUUAUCACCAAUGAAGUUUAUUUACUGAAUUAACUUUUAACGGACCCUCCACUUUGUUCUUCAGAGUUGGCUUCCACGACUUGCGCCUGUUUAGCCAGGAUUCCUCUUGCCUUUGUGACCGCCCCCCCUCCCCGCCAAAUCCCAAUCCUGGAGGUGAACGGCUCAGUCUCUGUUAACUCCUUGCCUGCUGGUGUUUUUUCUCUGUAGCUACUAAUCACCUCCUUUUGAUCACUGCCAAGUUCUCAGGUUGAAGGAAGGAGAAAGGACCUCUUGACCACUCUGGCUGGCUUUCCA
This 1193-nucleotide long non-coding RNA is filed under the name Homo sapiens (human). RNAcentral describes it as "HSALNT0281716". Lineage: Eukaryota; Metazoa; Chordata; Mammalia; Primates; Hominidae. The record is from RNAcentral.